AGAGUUUGAUCCUGGCUCAGGAUGAACGCUAGCUACAGGCUUAACACAUGCAAGUCGAGGGGAAACGACAUCGAAAGCUUGCUUUUGAUGGGCGUCGACCGGCGCACGGGUGAGUAACGCGUAUCCAACCUGCCCACCACUUGGGGAUAACCUUGCGAAAGUAAGACUAAUACCCAAUGACGUCUCUAGAAGACAUCUGAAAGAGAUUAAAGAUUUAUCGGUGAUGGAUGGGGAUGCGUCUGAUUAGCUUGUUGGCGGGGUAACGGCCCACCAAGGCGACGAUCAGUAGGGGUUCUGAGAGGAAGGUCCCCCACAUUGGAACUGAGACACGGUCCAAACUCCUACGGGAGGCAGCAGUGAGGAAUAUUGGUCAAUGGACGAGAGUCUGAACCAGCCAAGUAGCGUGCAGGAUGACGGCCCUAUGGGUUGUAAACUGCUUUUAUAAGGGAAUAAAGUGAGUCUCGUGAGACUUUUUGCAUGUACCUUAUGAAUAAGGACCGGCUAAUUCCGUGCCAGCAGCCGCGGUAAUACGGAAGGUCCGGGCGUUAUCCGGAUUUAUUGGGUUUAAAGGGAGCGUAGGCCGGAGAUUAAGCGUGUUGUGAAAUGUAGACGCUCAACGUCUGCACUGCAGCGCGAACUGGUUUCCUUGAGUACGCACAAAGUGGGCGGAAUUCGUGGUGUAGCGGUGAAAUGCUUAGAUAUCACGAAGAACUCCGAUUGCGAAGGCAGCUCACUGGAGCGCAACUGACGCUGAAGCUCGAAAGUGCGGGUAUCGAACAGGAUUAGAUACCCUGGUAGUCCGCACGGUAAACGAUGGAUGCCCGCUGUUGGUCUGAAUAGGUCAGCGGCCAAGCGAAAGCAUUAAGCAUCCCACCUGGGGAGUACGCCGGCAACGGUGAAACUCAAAUGAAUUGACGG
This 918-nucleotide ribosomal RNA is filed under the name uncultured bacterium. RNAcentral describes it as "bacterial SSU rRNA". It matches the Rfam family "Bacterial small subunit ribosomal RNA", at positions 8 to 916 of the family's 1533-position model. The record is from RNAcentral.